GAACCAAGGCGGGCGGUCGCCGUCGGGUUGACUGGGGGCGCGAUCUCUCGCGCCAUCCGGCGCCCGGGGGAGGAAAGUCCGAGCUCCGCAGGGCAGGGUGGUCGGUAACGCCGACCGGGGGUGACCCUAGGGAAAGUGGCACAGAAAACACACAGCCGAUGGUUGCGCGGUCGCGAGGCCGCGCUUCACAGGCAAUGGUGAAAACGUGCGGUAAGAGCGCACGCGCGACAGCCGGGUGACCGGCGGCGAGCUAAACCCCACCCGGAGCAAGACCGAAUAGGCUGGCUUUCCGGAACGGCCGGGUAACCCCGGCACGCCGGAUCGUAGGGUUGCCCGCCCGAGACCAGCGGGUAAGGUCGCUCGAGGCGGCUGGCAACGGCCGUCCUAGAUGAAUGAUCGCUGCCCCGCACCGGGAAACCGGUGCCGGGAACAGAACUCGGCUUACAGCCCUGGUUCGACA
This 460-nucleotide RNase P RNA is filed under the name Deltaproteobacteria bacterium. RNAcentral describes it as "RNase P RNA component class A". It matches the Rfam family "Bacterial RNase P class A". From Rfam's summary of the family: Ribonuclease P (RNase P) is a ubiquitous endoribonuclease, found in archaea, bacteria and eukarya as well as chloroplasts and mitochondria. Its best characterised activity is the generation of mature 5'-ends of tRNAs by cleaving the 5'-leader elements of precursor-tRNAs. Lineage: Bacteria; Pseudomonadati; Myxococcota; Myxococcia. The record is from RNAcentral.